GCCGGGCUAGCUCAGUCGGUUGAGCAUGAGACUCUCAAUCUCAGGGUUGUGGGUUCCAGCCCCGUG
This 66-nucleotide transfer RNA is filed under the name Cricetulus griseus (Chinese hamster). It matches the Rfam family "tRNA". From Rfam's summary of the family: Transfer RNA (tRNA) molecules are approximately 80 nucleotides in length. Their secondary structure includes four short double-helical elements and three loops (D, anti-codon, and T loops). Further hydrogen bonds mediate the characteristic L-shaped molecular structure. tRNAs have two regions of fundamental functional importance: the anti-codon, which is responsible for specific mRNA codon recognition, and the 3' end, to which the tRNAs corresponding amino acid is attached (by aminoacyl-tRNA synthetases). tRNAs cope with the degeneracy of the genetic code in two manners: having more than one tRNA (with a specific anti-codon) for a particular amino acid; and 'wobble' base-pairing, i.e. permitting non-standard base-pairing at the 3rd anti-codon position. The record is from Rfam by way of RNAcentral. Lineage: Eukaryota; Metazoa; Chordata; Mammalia; Rodentia; Cricetidae.